Heteronotia binoei (common prickly gecko) is the source of this 1412-nucleotide long non-coding RNA. RefSeq lists it as uncharacterized. NCBI's taxonomy places the organism in Eukaryota, Metazoa, Chordata, Lepidosauria, Squamata, Gekkonidae. The record is from RefSeq and is a predicted model, not a curated record. The transcript is spliced from 2 exons.
AUACAAUUCAUCACAAUGCCGCCACAUAAAUCACAGGGCUGUGUCAACCGACUGAGGUCCAAUGAGCCACACCAUACCUGACUGCUUGAGGAUGUAAUGGGGGAAGGAACUGUCAUCAGGUGGAACUAAUGUGUUGGGAGUUGGGGAAGAUUUAGCCGGUGACUUAUCCAGCUGUAUUUAAGAAGACUGCAGGGGUGGGAGGGCGUUUCUAACAGUCUGUGUGUGAGCUGUACAACUCAAAUAACAGCCUAGAGCGCCAACAUGGGAGGCAAACUUGGAAAGAGAGGAAUGUAUACGGUCAAGGGGAAUCCAGAGGACCAGGCGGCAGAAGGGUCUGGCACAGAGAUGGAAGAGCCUUCUAGCGGAAACAGCCUGAGCGAGCUGGGAGUCUCAGCCUUGCAGGAGGAAGGAGAUGCCGGCAAUUCCCAAGUCCUUCUGGAAGGGAACCAGCCAGAGCAGGGAGCUGCUGCUUCAAUUAUGGAGGCACGUAAAAGUGCAGAUUCUCCAGUCGAUAUGGGUUCCACAACAGACCAACGUGGUAAAAUGUCAAUGACUGGUUCUGGAUUGGAACCCCCUACAGACCUUAAUGCUGAAACUGUGGCAGCUGCCGCUGAAGAAGGAGCUGAAGAAGACCCAAUGAUGACACCACCUUCUUCGCCACUGCCUGUGCAUUAAGUUCCCCCUCUAGAGAAAUCCAGCAGUCAAUGUCUUUCUAGGUGGGCCUGUACCACUUUCAGCAAAUCUUCUUGAUUUUAGGGAAGCGACCCUCCUGUGGGUGUUCUGGCUCAUUCAAAGAAUUCUGCUAGUAAAUAAGGCUGCGUAUUGGAAUCAAAUAAUGCUUGACUGUAUGGAAUGUCCUAUAUUGUUUUAACAGGCUGGGAGGUGGGACUUCAGAUUGAGACCUCCUGGAUCCCUGCUUGAGAGAGAGCCAGUCUCAGAGCCUAAUGUCAGCUUGGACCAUUCUCCGUAUUAAUAAAACUCUGAAUGCUGGUUCUCCUUCGUGGAUGGAAUUUGUCCAGGAAAAGACAUUGUCAUUCUGUUCAACGACGUUGCCCUAACGGAUAUUGCUGUGUAUUCCGAGGUAUUAGCUAUUGGGAUUGAUCUCUUGGCAGUCUCCCUUUUUCUGAAAUGCUUCUUGUGUGUAGUUGUAGCCGCUGUGUAUUCUUCAGAGCCUUGUGCCGGUGGGUGGGAGACGCGGACUUAUUGCUGUGUUCACUGGCCUUGUUACUGGGGAUGAAUUUAUUAGUGGUGCACUACACCUGAUUGGAUUUGUAGGGGCUCUAGUGCAAUCCACUAGUGCUGAAACAGAAAACCGUUGGAUUGUGCAAAUCUAUAUUGUGAAACUGAAUGGAUAAAACGACUGCCCGGCAUUUGUAUCUGUCAAUAAAUAACUUUUUAAAUGAUUACUGCAA